AGAGUUUGAUCCUGGCUCAGAACGAACGCUGGCGGCAGGCUUAACACAUGCAAGUCGAACGCACCUUCGGGUGAGUGGCAGACGGGUGAGUAACGCGUGGGAACGUGCCCUUCAGUUCGGAAUAACCCAGGGAAACUUGGGCUAAUACCGGAUACGUGCGAGAGCAGAAAGAUUUAUCGCUGAAGGAUCGGCCCGCGUCUGAUUAGCUAGUUGGUGGGGUAAUGGCCCACCAAGGCGACGAUCAGUAGCUGGUCUGAGAGGAUGAUCAGCCACACUGGGACUGAGACACGGCCCAGACUCCUACGGGAGGCAGCAGUGGGGAAUAUUGGACAAUGGGCGCAAGCCUGAUCCAGCCAUGCCGCGUGAGUGAUGAAGGCCCUAGGGUUGUAAAGCUCUUUCACCCACGACGAUAAUGACGGUAGUGGGAGAAGAAGCCCCGGCUAACUUCGUGCCAGCAGCCGCGGUAAUACGAAGGGGGCUAGCGUUGCUCGGAAUCACUGGGCGUAAAGGGCGCGUAGGCGGCCGAUCAAGUCAGGGGUGAAAGCCUGUGGCUCAACCACAGAAUGGCCUUUGAUACUGUUCGGCUCGAGACCGGAAGAGGUUGGUGGAACUGCGAGUGUAGAGGUGAAAUUCGUAGAUAUUCGCAAGAGCACCGGUGGCGAAGGCGGCCAACUGGUCCGGUUCUGACGCUGAGGAGCGAAAGCGUGGGGAGCGAACAGGAUUAGAUACCCCUGUAGUCC
Molecule: ribosomal RNA, 740 nt
Filed under: uncultured Hyphomicrobiales bacterium
Lineage: Bacteria; Pseudomonadati; Pseudomonadota; Alphaproteobacteria; Hyphomicrobiales
Description: bacterial SSU rRNA
Rfam family: Bacterial small subunit ribosomal RNA
Source: RNAcentral